RNAcentral lists this ribosomal RNA (1343 nucleotides) under uncultured bacterium. RNAcentral describes it as "16S ribosomal RNA". It matches the Rfam family "Bacterial small subunit ribosomal RNA", at positions 28 to 1378 of the family's 1533-position model. The record is from RNAcentral.
GACGAACGUUGGCGGCGUGCUUAACACAUGCAAGUCGAACGGAAAGGCCCUGCUUUUGUGGGGUGCUCGAGUGGCGAACGGGUGAGUAACACGUGAGUAACCUGCCCUUGACUUUGGGAUAACUUCAGGAAACUGGGGCUAAUACCGGAUAGGAGCUCCUGCUGCAUGGUGGGGGUUGGAAAGUUUCGGCGGUUGGGGAUGGACUCGCGGCUUAUCAGCUUGUUGGUGGGGUAGUGGCUUACCAAGGCUUUGACGGGUAGCCGGCCUGAGAGGGUGACCGGCCACAUUGGGACUGAGAUACGGCCCAGACUCCUACGGGAGGCAGCAGUGGGGAAUAUUGCACAAUGGGCGGAAGCCUGAUGCAGCAACGCCGCGUGCGGGAUGACGGCCUUCGGGUUGUAAACCGCUUUCGCCUGUGACGAAGCGUGAGUGACGGUAAUGGGUAAAGAAGCACCGGCUAACUACGUGCCAGCAGCCGCGGUGAUACGUAGGGUGCGAGCGUUGUCCGGAUUUAUUGGGCGUAAAGGGCUCGUAGGUGGUUGAUCGCGUCGGAAGUGUAAUCUUGGGGCUUAACCCUGAGCGUGCUUUCGAUACGGGUUGACUUGAGGAAGGUAGGGGAGAAUGGAAUUCCUGGUGGAGCGGUGGAAUGCGCAGAUAUCAGGAGGAACACCAGUGGCGAAGGCGGUUCUCUGGGCCUUUCCUGACGCUGAGGAGCGAAAGCGUGGGGAGCGAACAGGCUUAGAUACCCUGGUAGUCCACGCUGUAAACGGUGGGUACUAGGUGUGGGGUCCAUUCCACGGGUUCCGUGCCGUAGCUAACGCUUUAAGUACCCCGCCUGGGGAGUACGGCCGCAAGGCUAAAACUCAAAGGAAUUGACGGGGCCCCGCACAAGCGGCGGAGCAUGCGGAUUAAUUCGAUGCAACGCGUAGAACCUUACCUGGGUUUGACAUGGAUCGGGAGUGCUCAGAGAUGGGUGUGCCUCUUUUGGGGUCGGUUCACAGGUGGUGCAUGGCUGUUGUCAGCUCGUGUCGUGAGAUGUUGGGUUAAGUCCCGCAACGAGCGCAACCCUUGUUCACUGUUGCCAGCACGUUAUGGUGGGGACUCAGUGGAGACCGCCGGGGUCAACUCGGAGGAAGGUGGGGAUGACGUCAAGUCAUCAUGCCCCUUAUGUCCAGGGCUUCACGCAUGCUACAAUGGCUGGUACAGAGAGUGGCGAGCCUGUGAGGGUGAGCGAAUCUCGGAAAGCCGGUCUCAGUUCGGAUUGGGGUCUGCAACUCGACCUCAUGAAGUCGGAGUCGCUAGUAAUCGCAGAUCAGCAACGCUGCGGUGAAUACGUUCCCGGG